Molecule: ribosomal RNA, 384 nt
Filed under: Clostridioides difficile
Lineage: Bacteria; Bacillati; Bacillota; Clostridia; Peptostreptococcales; Peptostreptococcaceae
Description: bacterial SSU rRNA
Rfam family: Bacterial small subunit ribosomal RNA
Source: RNAcentral
AGUUGCGAAGGCGGCUCUCUGGACUGUAACUGACGCUGAGGCACGAAAGCGUGGGGAGCAAACAGGAUUAGAUACCCUGGUAGUCCACGCUGUAAACGAUGAGUACUAGGUGUCGGGGGUUACCCCCCUCGGUGCCGCAGCUAACGCAUUAAGUACGCCGCCUGGGAAGUGAGCGCGCAAGAGGGACACUCAAAGGAAUUGCCGGGGACCCGCACAAGUGGCGGAGCAUGUGUUUUAGUUCGAAGCAACGCGAAGACCCUUACCUAAGCUUGACGUCCCAAUGACAUCGCCUUAAUCGGAGAGUUCCCUUCGGGGACAUUGGUGACAGGUGGUGCAUGGUUGUCGUCAGCUCGUGUCGUGAGAUGUUGGGUUAAGGCCCGCAAC